UGGGGAAUAUUGCACAAUGGGGGGAAACCCUGAUGCAGCAACGCCGCGUGAAGGAAGACGGUCUUCGGAUUGUAAACUUUUGUUCUUAGUGAAGAAUAAUGACGGUAGCUAAGGAGGAAGCCACGGCUAACUACGUGCCAGCAGCCGCGGUAAUACGUAGGUGGCAAGCGUUGUCCGGAAUUACUGGGUGUAAAGGGAGCGCAGGCGGGAAAUCAAGUUGGAUGUGAAAUGUCGGGGCUUAACCCCGGAACUGCAUCCAAAACUGAUAUUCUUGAGUGAAGUAGAGGUAGGCGGAAUUCCGAGU
This 304-nucleotide ribosomal RNA is filed under the name uncultured Eubacterium sp. Its description in RNAcentral is "bacterial SSU rRNA". It matches the Rfam family "Bacterial small subunit ribosomal RNA", at positions 355 to 674 of the family's 1533-position model. Lineage: Bacteria; Bacillati; Bacillota; Clostridia; Eubacteriales; Eubacteriaceae. The record is from RNAcentral.